RNAcentral lists this ribosomal RNA (229 nucleotides) under uncultured bacterium. RNAcentral's name for it is "partial 16S ribosomal RNA". It matches the Rfam family "Bacterial small subunit ribosomal RNA", at positions 568 to 796 of the family's 1533-position model. The record is from RNAcentral.
UACGCAGGCUGGCAAUUAAGUCAGUGGUGAAAUCCCACCGCUCAACGGUGGAACUGCCAUUGAUACUGGUUGUCUUGAGUACAGUAGAGGUAUGCGGAAUGUGACAUGUAGCGGUGAAAUGCAUAGAUAUGUCAUAGAACACCGAUUGCGAAGGCAGCAUACUGGACUGUAACUGACGCUGAGGUACGAAAGCGUGGGGAGCGAACAGGAUUAGAUACCCUGGUAGUCC